UCUAUUUCCGCCGCCACGCCACGCCACGCCACGCGCACCUCGGCGAAGGACAAGGCUCCGGCUGCCGCCACCGCCUCUGCCCCGGCUAUAAAGCCGCGCCCUUUGGCCGGCCCGCUCCUCCUCCUCUCUUCCUCCGCGCCGCGCCUCUCGCCUCCUCGCCGCGCUCUGCCCGGUCCGCUCCUCCUCCUCCUCUCUUUGUCCGGGCGGUGCCUCUCUCCUCCGACCUCCCCGCCGCGCUCCGGCCGGUCCGCUGCUCCUCCACCCUUCGUCCGGGCCGUGCGUAUGUCCUCCUCGAGUCGGGUUUCAUCUUGCUCGUCCUCCUAUGUCGAUCUGUCCGUCUAGAAUCGCGUAUGGAUUUGAUUUUGCUCGUCCUCGGUCGAUUUGCCCGUUUAGAGUCGCGUCCGGAUUUGAUUUUGCUCGCCGUCACCGUCGCCGUCGCCGGUUUAGAUAGCUAGAGAACCCCGCCUGAUUUGAUUUUGCCCGUUCUCCCCGUCGUCCGUUUAGGACCGCGCCCGAUUUGGUUUCAGUUUGCUCGUGCUCAGUUCGUCAGUUUAGAGUCGCUUCCGAGUUGAUUUUGCUCGUCCCUCCCCGCCGUUGUCGGUUUAGAGUCGCUUCUGAUUUGGUUCUGCCCGUUCUCGCCGUCGCCCGUUUCCGUUUUUGCUCGUCCUCGCCGUUGCCCCGACGCGCUCGCAUGUUCUUGGCCCGUCUCGUCGAGGGUCUCCGUCUGGUCUGCGGUUGAGAAAUUUCUGCGUGCGGUUCUGUUAUCUGAGAGACCCUUUGGAUCCUGCGUUUCUUCGUGUUCGUGUCUGCGCGAGAGUUGCAGGAACAGUCGGGUCUUGGUUUUGAAAUUGGGUUGCGGCCGGAGAUGGAGAGGCGGAGAGCAGUUGUCAGCUUGUCGUGCUAGUUCAGAUCGGUUGCUAGGCUCCUGCGUUGUUCGUCGGCAGUUUUCAGAUCUCAAACGGCUAGCUUGUUCGUGCUCGUCCAUCGAGACGUGCCCUUUGAUGCUCUGGUUCCUCUGUCGAUUCUGAUUGUACCAGCUAGCUUGUUUCAGUUUCGUCAGGCGUGUGUGCUCUCGUCCUGGAUGCAGGGGUGAUUCGUUACGGUUGUUCUGAUGCGUGUUACUGCUUCUGUUCUUUUCAAUUGAUUACUUCCUGUCAUGCUUUGCUUAUCCAUAUAUGGUGAUGUGUGUUCAGGGGUGCAAACCAUGUAGGCCGUGGGUGCAAAUCAUGUGGCUUGCUGCUUGACUAAUUGAACACCUGCUGCUGCUACUGUUGGACAAGGUUUCCUGCUUUUUUUGCCUCGUGUUGCUAGUCCGUUAGAUGAGGUGCUGCUAGUCCCUUAGACUUCGUUCUAGAUUGCAUAGCAUUACUCCAGAAUUUUGUCAUUGCCCACCUGGGCAUAUAAUUCUGCUGUCAGCAUAACUCUAGAAUUUAUUUAUCUGUGAAAGCACGUUCAUCACAUGUUCUUUAUCAAUGCUGCUCACUUUUGUCACGUCCCUUUUGUUUGUCCUGUUAAAUUUUAUGGCAUCAACUUGGAGCAAAUUUUGAACUCACUGGUUAGAAUGCUGACUUCUGUAUUUGUCGCUAUGUAAGCCAUGCACUUGGAAGCCUGGGAGUGAUUAGGAUUUGGAUUGCAUAGAGAUUUUAUGCUAUGUUUGUUUAUAACCUGGUUGUGACCUAAUAUAGUGCAAAUCUGCUAAUUUUUUAAUUUAAUUUAUGUUCAACACAAGUAGGUUUUGUUUGCAAGUGGUAUUUCUUUUGUGUGUGUAUGAACAUUCAUGCUGUCAAUUUUUCUUAUCAUAAUCAUUUACCGUGGUGUUCGACAAUACAUUUCUACUGUUCUUUGUUCCCUUUUGAGGUUCACUGACUCAAUUAUGCAUGAGAUUUGAUAUCAAUUACUGCUGUCCAGUCACUGAAAUAAUGCUUUUCUUGCUUUGUCUAGACUUUGUGACAAGAAUAAGCAUGCGUCUCUGUGCCUACAAACUUGUGGGUAGUGCCGUAGUGAUGAUGAUCCAACUAGCUUCCUGUUUUCAGGAAUGAAGAUCUGAAUUACCCUCACCCCUCUACAGAAAUCAGUUUACUCAUUCAGUUUCUGGAACUUCUUUAUAGCUUUCUGAGUUUAAGUCUUGCAUGUAUUGGCUUUCUGUUUGUACCCUUAUCUAUGUCUGUUUCUUUGUGUGUUUCUUGUGUGCAAGCGAUCCAUUGUGUGUGUCUGACUGUGUGUGUGAUGUGCCCUAUCUAUGUAUGUUUCUUUGUCUGUUUCAUGUGUGAAAGUGCUCCAUUAUCUGUGUUUGACUGCUUGGAUGGGGUGAUUCUGAUUGUGUUACUGCUUAUAUGGUCUGUCCAAUUGGUUUCUUAUUCAAGCUUUGCUUGUGUUCCGAUGUCGUCUCCCCAUAUAUGGCGAUGUGUUCAGGGAUGCAAACCAUGUAGGCCGUUUCGAGCAGGCAGGGAUCCAGAGACGUGCACUGGUCAGGCUUCUCUCCUGCUGAUAGAUGAUGAUAGGCUGAGCAGAAAAGUUUGACUCUUGUAACACUCACUUGCUUGGCUUCCACUCCUUUGUGUGGCCGAUUUGGCAUCCAAUGCAUCUCAUGCCUAUCUUAUACUCCCUCCGUUCCAAAAUAGAUGACCCAACUUUAUACUAACUUUACACUAAAGUUAUAAAGUUAGUAGAAAGUUGAGUCAUCUAUUUUGAAACGGAGGGAGUAUAUCUCACUCACUCAUCACAGCAUCCUUUUCCCUGUUUUUGUUCCUUUCUUUCUUAUCAUAAUAAUCAUGUAUACCGUGGUGUUUCACAAUACAUUUUUUGUGAUAUCUGUGUUUCAUUAUGUCUUAUGUGGAUAUCAUAUUUUUUUUUGUAUAUUACUGCUGUCCAUUCACUGGAAUAAUGCUUUCCUAAGUAUUUCAGGUAGGAUAUAGACAAAUGUCACAUUUGCUCUUCCUUGUGUUGCUAAGGACACUGAUGGGUGGGGUUUGCUUACAGCGCAGGACCGAUAAUUCUGAUAGUAUGCCAAGGACUGCUCAGGGUUCCUACCACUUUCUGUUUUACCAACUAAGGUAAUCGAAUUUUGACCUUCAACUUGCAAAUUUAUCACCUUAUGGGAGGGAAAGGUUUGCAUGUACAUGAGCUCUGAUUAUCUACAUAUAUACUUGAAUUGCUUUGGAUUUGUUGGACUACUAUUCUACAUGAUGUUCUCCAUGAUUCACUUGAUCUGUUAAUUUGAGUAUUUUCCCGGUGAGUUCUUUAGGUUCAUCUUGUGACACAAAAUACAAUUUUGGUACGUGCAGACUCUGAAAUUUGGUGAUAAAGAAAAGGUACCUCCUAAUUUGCUCUCUGGCUCUCUUACACUUGUCUUUGUUUAUAUAACAGUAGUGGCCUCCUGGCUUGUAGUUGGGUAAUGCAGAGAAAGGUUUGGAACUGAAGAACUAAAAUAAUGCAGAGUUGAAGGUUCUGAACGGGAAGCUUGAACAAAUAGUUUACUUUUUCUCAUGUCUUUGAUUAGUUUCAUCCUAUCUAUGUCUGUCUUGUGUGCAAGUACUCCAUUGUGUCUGUGUGUGACUGACUGUUUGUGUGUGUGACUGAUUGUGUGUGUUGCUUUGUCUGUUUCUUGUGUGCAAGCGCUCCAUUGUGUGUGUGUGCGUGUGUGUUGACUGUGACUGUGUGUCAUUUUAUGACACUGACUGUGUAUUGAUUGUGACUGUGUGUGUAUGUGUGUGUGUGUGUGUUGACUGUGACUGUGUAUUGAUUGUGACUAUGUGUAUGUGUGUGUGUGUGUGUUGACUGUGACUGUCAUUGUGCAAGCGCUCCAUAACUACCUACGCAUGGAAAUUUCUGUAAGGUCAUGGGCUUGUCAUUUAAUGACCUACAUACCUCUGUAGUUGGUAGUAUCAUUGCCCUUUGGACACUCUUCAAUGCAUUUCUGUAUAUUUUCCUGCCACAACUAUGAUGUUUGUGCUGAGAAUGAUGUAUAUGUAGAAUCCAGGGUGGAUGGAGGGUUUCAUGAUGGCUAAUUUGAUUUGUUAUGGUUCUGAUGGUGUGCUUCUUGUGUUUGAACUGAAGCCGUGGAUCACUCAUCAACCUGGUCUGUGUUUGUAUGUAUCUACCUACGCAGAUGAAUUAUUUCCGGAUAGGACAGAGGUGCAAUGUUUACAUCCAUGGUAGAAGGUUCUUUAACACUGAACUCAUCAAAGGUCCUUGGACUCAAGAGGAAGAUGACAAAAUUAUUGACCUUGUAAACAAGUAUGGACUAACAAAAUGGUUGCAUUGCAAGGUCAGCUACCAGAACUUCCUGCUGCUGAUCCUGGGAUGUUUCCGAACAUGCUCCCGAACAUGCUCAAUCUAUCCGCCCUAGGACAGCCACUGCCAUGACACAGCAGGUUACUCGGCAUGCUCGGUGUGUUUACUUCGGUGGACUUCCUCCGAUCGCUAAUGAACAGACGGUUGCUCUAUUCUUCAAUCAAGUUAUGGCUGCUAUCGGGGAAACACGUUUGGUCUAGGUGGCAUAAUCAUCUGAAUCCAAACAUAUGGAACGAUGCUUGGACUACUGAGGAGGAACAUGCACUGAUUAAUGCCAUCAGGUAUAUGUGAAUAAAUGAGCAGAAAUAGCAAAACUUACUCCUGGAAGGUACUGCAUGCCAAACAACUUACAUCAUGGGUCUUGCUUGUAGUAUUAGCUUUCUGUUGCCCUUUCUAUCUCUUAUGUGUGUGACUGACUCUGUGUGACUGUUACUGUGUGUGUGACUGAAUCUGUGUGUGACUGUGACUUUGUGUGUGACCGACUGUGUGUGUGUUUGAAUUAAUAUUGCAUUCGCUUGAUGGUGUGUGCUGUAUGCUUUGCUUGAUGGUGUGUCCUGUAUGCUUUGCUUGAUGGUGUGUCCUGAAUGCUUUGCUUGAAUGAUUGGUGUUGUAUGUUUUGUUUGUUGUGGUUUAACACUGCCUUUGCCGGUCCCAAGCCCGGAUGUGAAAAUGUGGAGGGAGCUGCAUUGAUAUUGCAUUUGCUUGAUUGUGUGUCCUGUAUGCUUUGCUUGAAUGAUUGAUGUUGUUGUAUAAUUUGUGUUUUGUAUUGUUGUGGUUUAACACUGCCUUUGCCGGUCCCAAGCCCGGAUGUGAAAAUGUGGAGGGAGCUGCAGUUACCUUCUUUGUAUUGUUUGAUUACACACAGUUUGCGUUACCUUCUUUGUAUUGUUUGCAUUACACACAAUUUGCAUUACCUUCUUUGUAUGGUUUGUUGUGAUUUAUUUGCUAUGAAAAAUCCAGGCAUGCAAGGAACUUCGUGAUUUCUUUCUCAAGCUGUAUGAGGUCAGUGUUUUUUUUGCGAAUAAUAUGAGGUCAGUGUUUACUUACGAUAAUACCAAAGGGAAGCGAAUGUUUGAUUGUUCUGGGUGGUGUAUGGCUUCCCUAGAAAAUAAAAUGCAGUGCUAUCUGUUCGGCUGUAUACAAAUUUUUCCGACCAUAGAAUUCGUCUCGUCUCCUAAAUUAAUCGUACUGGUUUUAAAUCUUGUCAGCAUGGAUGUUCUUUUUUCUACUAAUAUAUAUUGUCAAGUAAAUACAUCUCCUAAAUUAAUCCUACUGGUUUUAAAUCGUACUGCUAAUAUAUAUUGUCAAGUAAAAACGUCAGUUGUUUGUCCCAAGCAACUGGGCGCUGCUAGCUAGGCAAGUUGAGUGAGUAAUGUCCUGAACACUAUAGAACUGACGUAUACUGAUCUUGUGUGAACACGCUGUGCGCCCUCGGAUCUGCAAAAGGAGUAACAGAGCAAAGCGGAGAAGAGAAGGGGUGCAUCGCACGGAUCUUGCCGCGAGGAUUGCCAUGUGAGGCGCAUAAAUUGUUUGCGCUAACUGACGGCUGAGCGAGCAUUCCCUACAUCCCCCUUCCUCGCUCCCCUAACGCCAGUCCCUCAUCUUUUCCUAACCCGUCUCGCACUCUGCCCCGCAGGUGAUUCAGUAUGGUUUCUUUGUCUCCGUUGGCAAUUCGAGCGUCUUCGACCGCUUGGAGUCAAGUUCUUUAUCGACUCCAGCAUUGGGCUAAGGCAUACACUGCUUCGCCGCCACCGCUUUGUUUUCUGUAGGGUUCGUUUCGCCGGGGUUUGAUGGAUGUUGAGUGGUUGACAUGGCGGCAGUGACAUUUUUAUUCGCUCGACAGACGUAGUGUGGGAUUAAUUGUGGCGAGAUGGUGAUUUGUGGUGUCAAGGUAGGGUUCCCAAGAUGUUGGAGCUGUCGUGAUGGGGAGGGCCGCAGUGUGCGUGGGAUUAAUUGUGGCGAGCGUCGUGGCCACGACCGCAAUAGGGCCAUGGGCAUUAGCGCGUUCGAUUUUUGCGAUUUUGUUGGGGCUGUGAAGAGUUCGGUUUUGGGAUUUUCUUUGUUUCUUAAUUUUUUUUCUCUUUCCCAGGCCGCAGCCCAACCACUUUCUAAUUCUAUUUCCCCCCUGCUUCCCUUCCAUCCUCAUGGGUCUGCAGCCCAACCACCCAGGCGAGCGAGCGACUGUUUUCCUUCUCUUCCUCUGCCUUUGUACGCUCUCGCUUACAUCGCAGAGGCUAUAUCUCGCUUAUAGCAAUAGCAAGUCUUCCUUCGGUCUCGCCUAAAGCGCGUCUAUAGUUUUCGGCCGGCCCAUUCACACUAAAAUAAAUACACUAGAGAAAAAGGGUCACGCAUGAAUCAAUCCCACGAGGCCACGAUGUACCAUAUGAUCACGGUCAGGUGAAAAGCCCAGGUUCUUUCUCUAGAGACAAAGCUGCGCCCCUUCAUCGCUCCUGUGUGAUGUUUAUGCCGUUGUUCAUUUUAUUUAGACACGCCGACAGUAAGUUUCGCGCACUAGAUGCCUGUUUGAUAUUGUUGAAUCAUUGACGAGUAGAUCUUUUGGUGGAUGCUGCUUGAUUGCAGUCGUGGCCGAGCCGACCGGCGCGGUGCGGUAGGACGCGGCGGGCGCGCGUGGAGCUGUGCGCAACUGCAUCCAUCACCAUACCCCGGCGGUGCCAGCCACCGUCUCCCGUCACGCACAUCGGAGUGACGCCGGGUUGGACCUCCUCAUAUCCCAGGAGCUGCCCGACGACGCUGGCGAAGUGGAGGAGCUGGACCCGGCGGGGUGGCGGGUGGUGAAGUGGAGGGCGGCUAGCAUAGUGGGAGGCCGCGUCGCUCUCGGAUCCGUCCGUCGUCGGGGCUGCGCGGGUGCCCAGCGGCGCUUGGAUCUAUCCUCGGGCGGCAAACCGGACGCGCCGCCGGGUCUGGCGCCACAACGCGCUUCGUGCGCCGGAAGGGGAUCCGGCCCUCGAACCUGUCCUCGAUAGAUUCCAUGGCCAGGUCGCCCACAACAUGACGCCCGUGCUGGCGACGGCGACGAAGAAGUAGCCGGAGUGCAAAACACGACGAACCAGAGCUGUGUGGCGGUAGCAUUGGCGUCGUCAACAGAGACCCCGGCUGUGUGAGACGCAUACGGGUGGCGCCCCUUCUUCUAUUUUUUUUUAGUUAUAGGUCAGGUCAAGUUGUUUUGCCCCAUCAGCACUUACAGCUGGCCCCCAUCUGUCAGAUAUAUGGUGUUAACACGCGUCUUAACCGGUGGCUAAAAUGGAUUGCUUCCAUCCUUGGAACGGCUAGUACCAAAGUUAUCGUUAAUGGAGUGCAUGGUCCGCCAAUCUUCCACACAAAAGGGCUUA
Molecule: non-coding RNA, 7643 nt
Organism: Aegilops tauschii subsp. strangulata
Lineage: Eukaryota; Viridiplantae; Streptophyta; Magnoliopsida; Poales; Poaceae
Source: RefSeq, a predicted model, not a curated record